AAGACCGUACUAACUAGGAUCAUUUCUAUAGUAUGCGUCCUGUCAUUGUAAUUCUACAAAGACAACCCGUCAAACCAUGAUGAUGAGCUGAAGUGGUGGCACCUGAGCGUGAUGCUAAACUCGUGAAGAUCUAACGAUCUAAAUGAGUUUUAGAUGAUCGUUCCAUUUGACGAAUCUGUCAAAUGGAGGGUGCCGCUACCAGCUGAAUGGU
This is a small nucleolar RNA of Hydra vulgaris (swiftwater hydra), 211 nucleotides long. RefSeq annotates it as small nucleolar RNA U3. The record is from RefSeq and is a predicted model, not a curated record. NCBI's taxonomy places the organism in Eukaryota, Metazoa, Cnidaria, Hydrozoa, Anthoathecata, Hydridae.